ACUCAAAGGAAUAGACGGGGACCCGCACAAGCGGUGGAUGAUGUGGAUUAAUUCGAUGCAACGCGAAAAACCUUACCUACCCUUGACAUGUCCAGAACCCCUGAGAGAUUGGGGGGUGCCUUCGGGAACUGGAACACAGGUGCUGCAUGGCUGUCGUCAGCUCGUGUCGUGAGAUGUUGGGUUAAGUCCCGCAACGAGCGCAACCCUUGUCAUUAGUUGCCAUCAUUUAGUUGGGCACUCUAAUGAGACUGCCGGUGACAAACCGGAGGAAGGUGGGGAUGACGUCAAGUCCUCAUGGCCCUUAUGGGUAGGGCUUCACACGUCAUACAAUGGUCGGUACAGAGGGUUGCCAAGCCGCGAGGUGGAGCUAAUCUCAGAAAGCCGAUCGUAGUCCGGAUCGCAGUCUGCAACUCGACUGCGUGAAGUCGGAAUCGCUAGUAAUCGCGGAUCAGCAUGUCGCGGUGAAUACGUUCCCGGGUCUUGUACACACCGCCCGU
This 497-nucleotide ribosomal RNA is filed under the name uncultured bacterium. RNAcentral describes it as "bacterial SSU rRNA". It matches the Rfam family "Bacterial small subunit ribosomal RNA", at positions 899 to 1397 of the family's 1533-position model. The record is from RNAcentral.